CAAAUCUACACAUAUUAUUUCUUCCAUUUAAGAGCUCACAAAUGAACACUUUUGGGUUCACGCUUAAAAUAUUGACCCAACGGUAACGUUCUGAACAAUACAUGACAAAAAUGCGCAAUAUAUGACGUUAUCAAUACAGCUAAUAACAUAAAGUAAAACGUACGUUAAUUACUCAUUCAAUAUACUUAACACUAGAAAUAACUUCUGAUAACUUAUAUACACUCUCUUAAUACAAAAAUAAUGAUAUUUCUGUACUUGGAAAUAACAAAUACACACAUUUACAACAAAUGGUAUGUCGUUGUCCAAAGACACAUUUGGUUUCUGGACAAUAACUUUAGAUUAAGGGGGCUCGCGGGUAUAAAUCAUUUUUAUACGACCUCAAAAAUUGAAUUUUUUUUUGUCGCAUAUUGGUAUCACGUUGGCGUCUUUGUCCGAAGACUUGGUUUUCGCACUAUAACUUUAGUUUAAGUAAAUAGAAAUCUAUGAAAUUUUUUCUGCGUUUCGUAAUAUAUCAGAAAAAUAUUGUAUUGCAUGGUUCAUCAAGACUCAAGUCACAUGCAUAAGAAUGACCAAUGGUCAAGGUUUUUUGUCGAGCAUGCAGAAAGCUCGACAUAGAAAUAGUGAGCAGCGGUGGCGUUAGCUAACUUCUAAUAAGCUUUCUAUUUUAGAAGGUGGAAGACCUGAAUGCUUCAUACUUUGUAUACAUAUG
RNAcentral lists this long non-coding RNA (709 nucleotides) under Mytilus galloprovincialis (Mediterranean mussel). Lineage: Eukaryota; Metazoa; Mollusca; Bivalvia; Mytilida; Mytilidae. The record is from RNAcentral.